GGAAUGGUGCUCGAGUGGUUGAAGAGGCACGCCUGGAAAGCGUGUAUACGCCAAAAGCGUAUCGGGGGUUCGAAUCCCCCUCAUUCCG
RNAcentral lists this transfer RNA (88 nucleotides) under Muribaculaceae bacterium. RNAcentral's name for it is "tRNA-Ser". It matches the Rfam family "tRNA". From Rfam's summary of the family: Transfer RNA (tRNA) molecules are approximately 80 nucleotides in length. The record is from RNAcentral. Lineage: Bacteria; Pseudomonadati; Bacteroidota; Bacteroidia; Bacteroidales; Muribaculaceae.